Molecule: long non-coding RNA, 1474 nt
Filed under: Pogona vitticeps (central bearded dragon)
Lineage: Eukaryota; Metazoa; Chordata; Lepidosauria; Squamata; Agamidae
Description: lncRNA (ENSPVIG00000017352.1)
Source: RNAcentral
AGUGCAUCUUCUCUCUAGCGCAUAUGGCAAAAGUCAUAAUGUCAUGUGUCACAACUGAUAAGGUUAACUGUUGACAUGAUAGAAGUCUGCGCAUGAGCUUGUCAAGGGGCUUCCAAUUUCUAAGUCAAUCCAUCCCUCCUUCCCCUCAGUAUGUAGCCACAGGUGGCAGUGAUCUGUAAUAAAAGGCCUUUUCACUCCUUUGAUAAAAUGACCCAGAGCUUUCCUGUGCUCCACUGUAAACCACCCAUGUCCUAUGUGUGCUAUGGAGCCUAAGGUUAGUAGCUGCCAUUGACAUCCAAAAGCCGCACACGAUGACAAGAAUAUUCUGUAUCCUUUCUACUCCACAGAGACACUUGACUGAAUGGGAGGCCAAGUGGCGAGCAAAGAAUGAAAGGAUCAGGCAGAAGCAGCACCAGAUUGAGAAACUGAACACCACCAUUCAAGGAUUGUCUUUGAAGAGUCAGGUAUGUCCCACCCACCUACUGUAGAAACCCAUCCCAUUUCUGUUCAAUGGUCAUUUUGAUGGCAGGACUCCUACCUAGGUGUUACUGAGGUCUGAAAUGUCUUUGCCCCUUCUCUUUAAUUAUGGAUGUAAAUAAGAGACAGGAGUGGGAAACAAUGUUUGGAACGCCCUCUGCUGAAUAGUUUCUGCUAUUUCUACAAUAGGUUUGUUUUCUGAAAGAGCAUAGAAUUCCUCUCAACCCAGACUUUGACGAGGCAGACAUAGAGGCCGGUAUAACAUCCUGUAAAUGUGGAAUGGAAGGGCGAUGAUCUGUUCUGGCAGGUUCCUCAUGUACUUGGUUGUGUAUGAGUGUAAGAACAGACACACAAUACAUAAUAGGUAACCUCUCCCUCCCCUUCUCUCUCUCUCUCUCUCUCUAAUGCUUAGGUAAUUCCCUUUCUGUUCUACACUUAGGCAAUAAGACCCACAGUAUUCAAAUUCUCUCCCACCACCAUUUAAUGCUUCUUGAUAGAGCUUAAGGCCUCAUUGAGCAGGGAGUAUGAAGUGCAGAGAGGGUGCAGCAUUGUCGUAGCAGGGUCAUUUGUUCCCUUUAUUUUUGUGUUUUGUUUUGUUUUUUAACGAAGGAGCUCCACAGAAACAUCACCCUCUUGGAAGAUCGUGUGGUGGAAGCUCAGCAGGAAGCGGCAUUGUAAGGAUCACCCUUUAUAUUCUUCCUGAUCGACUGUCAUUAAGCAGAGAGACACUAUUAUUUACCAUGUUGUUCAGAAGCCUGGGUUCAAAUACUAGCUAGGUUCUGGACAGGAUGGCUUGGGCCACAGCCAUAAAUCCUAUGGACUCAGUUCCUUAUUUGCAACUCAACGACCACUGGGGCGUUGAAUUAAAUGUAGGCUGAAAAUGGUAAGCAAUGAAAGACAGAUGGACUUCCCUAUUUUAAAAAAGGGAGGGGGGACCAUAUGGACCUUAUACUUUAUUCAAUGGUAGGGGGUGGUGAUACUUUAUUAUACCACUAAA